RNAcentral lists this ribosomal RNA (248 nucleotides) under uncultured Bacteroides sp. Its description in RNAcentral is "partial 16S ribosomal RNA". It matches the Rfam family "Bacterial small subunit ribosomal RNA", at positions 524 to 771 of the family's 1533-position model. The record is from RNAcentral. Lineage: Bacteria; Pseudomonadati; Bacteroidota; Bacteroidia; Bacteroidales; Bacteroidaceae.
UACGGAGGAUCCGAGCGUUAUCCGGAAUUAUUGGGCGUAAAGGGUGCGCAGGCGGAUUGUUAAGUCAGUUGUGAAAGUUUGCGGCUCAACCGUAAAAUUGCAGUUGAUACUGGCAGUCUUGAGUGCAGUAGAGGUGGGCGGAAUUCGUGGUGUAGCGGUGAAAUGCUUAGAUAUCACGAAGAACUCCGAUUGCGAAGGCAGCUCACUAGACUGCAACUGACACUGAUGCUCGAAAGUGUGGGUAUCAA